GAUGAACGCUGGCGGCGUGCCUAAUACAUGCAAGUCGAGCGAACGGACGAGAAGCUUGCUUCUCUGAUGUUAGCGGCGGACGGGUGAGUAACACGUGGAUAACCUACCUAUAAGACUUGGAUAACUUCGGGAAACCGUAGUUAAUACCGGAUAAUAUUUUGAACCGCAUGGUUCAAAAGUGAAAGACGGUCUUGCUGUCACUUAUAGAUGUAUCCGCGCUGCAUUAGCUAGUUGGUAAGGUAACGGCUUACCAAGGCAACGAUGCGUAGCCGACCUGAGAGAGUGAUCGGCCACACUGGAACUGGGACACGGUCCAGGCUCCUGCGGGAGGCAGCAGUAGGGAAUCUGCCGCAGUAGGCGAAAGCCUGACGGAACAACGCCGCGUGAGUGAUGAAGGUCUUCGGAUCGUAAAACUCUGUUAUUAGGGAAGAACAUAUGUGUAAGUAACUGUACACAUAUUGACGGUACCUAAUCAGAAAGCCACGGCUAACUACGUG
RNAcentral lists this ribosomal RNA (497 nucleotides) under uncultured bacterium. RNAcentral's name for it is "partial 16S ribosomal RNA". It matches the Rfam family "Bacterial small subunit ribosomal RNA", at positions 28 to 507 of the family's 1533-position model. The record is from RNAcentral.